Long non-coding RNA from Uranotaenia lowii, 1300 nucleotides. RefSeq lists it as uncharacterized. Lineage: Eukaryota; Metazoa; Arthropoda; Insecta; Diptera; Culicidae. The transcript is spliced from 4 exons. The record is from RefSeq and is a predicted model, not a curated record.
UCCGAGCUGGAUGGAAAGCAGACACGUAGGACGGAAGAAAGUCACGCUUGUGGCCAGCUUGAAAGAGCUUUUCCAGGCGCGAACCGGUGUUAGUUGGUGCACCGAUGCGGCACAGGAAAUGGCCCAGCUUAGAACCCCUUACAUGGAUGGUCUCUUCGCCGAUGGAUUGCUUGAGAAGAUCGUCGAUCUCUUGGGGGAACCAAGGAGCUGAUUUAUUAUGUGUUGACGAACAAUCGAGCACUUGGGCCACCGAAACAUCAUCGGCAAGUAUUGGACUUGUUCGAGAAUAUUCGGCCGCUCCAAGUGAACUGCCGUGGGGAACAAUUUAUUGUGAAGAAAACUCCCCACCCGGUUUCCACAUUCUGCUACAAAUCAACACCAAAUCCGACUUCCUUAGUCUGCUUCUGCACAUCAUCGACAAAGCCUGUUCCCUGACACCUUCCCACCGUUUCCCGGACGCAAAAAUAUUGAGAAGACCUCCCUGUAUGCGCUACGAUCCUGCACCGGGCUCUCAAAACACAGGAUGGUGAAUUUUUGGGCUUCGAAGCAGCCAAAAACUGACACGUAGCAGUCGGAGAUGGUGGUUUACUGCAGUAUCCGGAACAGCCUUCGAAGGACGGCAAAAAAGGCCCGGCAAUUUUUUUUUUUUUUAUUCAAUUAGUUCUUUAUUAGGCAGUUUACUUUUACAAGUUUUACGGGCCGAGGGUCAGUUAUAUAAAUCAAAUAAGGGAGAGAGAUGACUGAAGGUCAGGAUUUGGGAAGGGAAGAGGAAUGAGGUUUUUAAAAGAUUAGCUGUCCGUGCACGGGUCGAAAUUGUCCAGUUGUUACCAACUGUGUGUAGAUUUUCAUCUACACCCCGGCCCGGCAAAAUAAAAAGAUAAAAAAAAGGCCGUUCGCAGAUGAAAAGGAAAAGUCACAGGAAAAGCUUUUGGCAGCCAACCCCUUGAGUAACGGCACCGAACACGCAGGCCUUCAUAUAGCGCUGAAAAAGAUAAUCAAACUUGACCCAGAACAUCGGCAAAACGACGAGCAUGCAUCUCAGUUUGGCCAGGCUGUGAUACAGUGUCUACCGGAGGAAUCUGUAAAAACAUGGAUUGUUCGGAACCGGCCCUGCUUCCUGCUGCUUCUGAGCUUUGAGCUGAGGGUGAUUGAUGAAGUGAGUCGGGCCCACCCUGCAUUUAGGAAGCGACCAGGACUCCCCAAUGCCAGCCGGAAUGGCAAUGGAUUGAUUUUAAUGUCAUUGGCGUUGUUAAAAGAUAAAUUUUCUAAUAGUUUUGUGAAUGAAGAAUAUAAUUUGAAA